Molecule: long non-coding RNA, 294 nt
Organism: Numida meleagris (helmeted guineafowl)
Lineage: Eukaryota; Metazoa; Chordata; Aves; Galliformes; Numididae
Exons: 4
Source: RefSeq, a predicted model, not a curated record
CUCUGCUUGUGUGAGGGCCUUAUGGGCUUCCUAAAGAUGGUACCAGAGGGGAGUCUGCAAGAUGGUGUCUGAUAUGGAAGUGCAUCUGAAGGAAAGGUUUGGAACUGAAUUCCUCCAUGAGACAUGAUACCAUGACCAUGCCAGAGAAAAUCGCCUCAUACCAAGAUGAGCCUUGGCAAGUCUUCAGGCCCAACACCUUAAGGUCACUUGUGUUGCCAAGAUGCCAAGAGAACUAUUGGAAACUUGGGGAACACAGUAGGCAUUGCAGCUGACUGAUUUUAUUUGGGAAUUCUA